GAUGAAGAACGUAGCGAAAUGCGAUAAGUAGUGUGAAUUGCAGAAUUCAGUGAAUCAUCGAAUCUUUGAACGCACAUUGCGCCCCUUGGUAUUCCAUGGGGCAUGCCUGUUCGAGCGUCAUUUGUACCUUCAAGCUCUGCUUGGUGUUGGGUGUUUGUCUCGCCUCUGCGUGUAGACUCGCCUUAAAACAAUUGGCAGCCGGCGUAUUGAUUUCGGAGCGCAGUACAUCUCGCGCUUUGCACUCAUAACGACGACGUCCAAAAGUACAUUUUUACACUCUUGACCUCGGAUCAGGUAGGGAUACCCGCUGAACUUAAGCACAUCAAUAAGCGGAGGA
Molecule: unclassified non-coding RNA, 337 nt
Filed under: soil metagenome
Description: partial contains 5.8S ribosomal RNA, internal transcribed spacer 2, and large subunit ribosomal RNA
Rfam family: 5.8S ribosomal RNA (bases 1-120)
Source: RNAcentral